RNAcentral lists this ribosomal RNA (468 nucleotides) under uncultured bacterium. Its description in RNAcentral is "partial 16S ribosomal RNA". It matches the Rfam family "Bacterial small subunit ribosomal RNA", at positions 28 to 507 of the family's 1533-position model. The record is from RNAcentral.
GACGAACGCUGGCGGCGUGCUUAACACAUGCAAGUCGAACGGAAAGGCCCUGCUUUUGUGGGGUGCUCGAGUGGCGAACGGGUGAGCAACACGUGAGUAACCUGCCCUUGACUUUGGGAUAACUUCAGGAAACUGGGGCUAAUACCGGAUAGGAGCUCCUGCUGCAUGGUGGGGGUUGGAAAGUUUCGGCGGUUGGGGAUGGACUCGCGGCUUAUCAGCUUGUUGGUGGGGUAGUGGCUCACCAAGGCUUUGACGGGUAGCCGGCCUGAGAGGGUGACCGGCCACAUUGGGACUGAGAUACGGCCCAGACUCCUACGGGAGGCAGCAGUGGGGAAUAUUGCACAAUGGGCGGAAGCCUGAUGCAGCAACGCCGCGUGCGGGAUGACGGCCUUCGGGUUGUAAACCGCUUUCGCCUGUGACGAAGCGUGAGUGACGGUAAUGGGUAAAGAAGCACCGGCUAACUACGUG